GAGCGGGCAGCCGCGGCGGCUGCGCGCUGCGGCGCGGCCGUGGGACGGGAGCGGCGCUGAGCCCCCCGGGCCCGCCGGGGGCGGCACCGGCACCGGCGCCGCCGCAGCCAGCCGGGUUUUGCCCCGCGUUCAGCAAGCAGCCCCGCGGCCCUGGGGCGCGACGCAUACACCCGCGCAGCGCCGGGCUCCCGAGCGGCCCCGCAGCCGCGCAGCGCCGGCGUCGGGGUAAAGCCGCCGCAGUGAAUUAAAAGCGGCGGCGAUGUGAGGCAGCCCUCUAAUGCGGAGUGACAAAUUGCACUUAGGCAAUACAUGAACGAGAAAAUGAUUUAUGGAUUUUCACGAUGGUCUGAGCAAAUGAAGGCGACGUGAAUUAUACAUCCUAAUGUGCACUAUAUCACUUUCUAAUAAUACUGUUUCAGUUCUGAUGCUGUACGCGGCUUUCUUCGAUAGGGGGUAUUGAUUAAAUAAAAAGUCCAAGGGCUAUCUUUAAACUGGACGUGUAUCUUUUGCAGGCACCAGCUGAGGUUUAUAUAUUUACUUAUUGCUAAAGCAAGGGGCAAUUGUCAGACCCCUGACACCGUGGCUCAUAGUUUUCCCAUCUGUCAUCAUUUAAUUUGGCAGUUGCUUCACCAAAUGAAGACUAAUCUUUCAUAUCGCUGCAUUUCGCUCCAUGCUGCGAUUUAGAAAUGUAAAUAAAUGACAUCAGGUUCGAUAAAUCCACCAGGCGGACAGGAGUAGCACCUUGGUAAGUCCAACCUUUCCUCCCUGCCACAACCCUCACAUGUCUCCUUGGCACCCCAAAUACCGUGACCACCAGAACGGGCAUUUUAUAGCAAGGGGAACAUGUGAUAAAUAAUGUUCUUGCUUGGCUAGAACUUUCCUCUCACUUCCAUCUACUGAAUGGCACUGAUUUUCUUAAAGACUUUGCAUUUGACUCAUGCACACCAGAAGAGAGAAUCAGGACAAAAAAACCCCCUGUGAGUACGUGCGUGUAAAGGGAGGGAGAGCUGUCAGAUAGGGAGGUGGCUUAACCCCAGAUUCAGCCUGUGUUAGAGUGCGGUGUGGAGGCCCCAAAGCGUAGGGUGCCCACGGUCUCGUUUUGCCCUACAGCCCACAGAACAGUGACAUAAACUAUGAAUAGUCCCAGUUAUUUCAAAGGUUCCUAGGGUAAAUUAUCACUGAACAGUAACAAGGGUAAGCAAGACCAGCCCUUCCAUGAACAGUUGCAGAAGAGAGCUGGGGAAGCUGGAGGCAGAGGAUUAAUGUAUUCACCUGGGGGCUAAUUUGGCGAGCAUUGGCGAGGGGUGAAGAAACACUUCAUUUCUCAUUACCCAAAUGAAGCUUUUCCAUCGUUCAGACACAAAAGGAGUCACAGAAGUCAAAGAUGCCCAAAUGCUGCAUUUUGGACUGAACAAUUGUUUUUCUAACCUGGACAAAUAUAGUUAUGGCAGUAGAAAGCUAAUACCAAUUGUUCAAUGCAAUUGCCAAGAUGAUCUUCUGGUUCUGUUUUAGAUAUCAGUCUUGGUCAGCCUCUUUAUUGUUUGGCUUUUAAAAAUGUGCUUAGAUUUUUGGAUUUGGUUCUCUCUCCCUCCCCCCCGGAAAGUCUUAGAUUGUCAUUACUUGGUAUAAUUUUAAUUAUCUGGAUUUAAAAACAAAAACAAAACCCACCCAGGUCCUCUUCUGAGAGAAUUAAUAACAGCUCUUAGCGCAGGAAAGAUUACUGGAAUCAAUGAUGUGAUUAGGAUUGUAAAUAAGAACUAAAAGAUGUCACCAUUAGAAAAAGCCCGCUUUGCUAACAGGAAAAUGGGUAUGUUUUACUCAUAGGGCCAUAGGCUGAAAAUCCUGCUUCAAACGUAGGUCGAAACAGAACAAUUUCAGGAAUUAGCUAAGAGGCCUGAUUAAGGUUAUUUGUGUCAGAGGGAAAGGUUUGCUGCCACCACUCCCUCAGUGGGUUUCGUUCUUAAUUGCCGAUGAGGAGACAGAACAGGAAGACCGGACCGUUUGGCUAAUCAAUAAAAAAGAGCCUGCCUUUGUGUUUGUCUGAGGAGCGCUCCCCGGGCUGGAUCAAUACUGCAGCCACCAAAGUUCUCGCAGAGGUCACCAGCGACCAGGACGGUUUCUGCUGGCUUUCUAAGCACCACCAAAGCCAAGCAUCUGCAGCAAGCUUGCAAAUGCAAGCAGAGUUGGAGAUACGAUGUUAAUCAUCACCCUCAUGCUUAUGGGAGGAUUCCAGGUGAUAAAAACAACUUGUUGUAUUUAUGGCCUUAGACAGCUGUUUUAAUAAAUGAAGAUGAAGUAUUACUUCGUUAUGUGCCCUGUACUGCACUAGUGAUCAAAUACAAUGGAGCCUCUCCAGAAGGCGCUGGGAGUCUUUCUAAAUAAGAAUUACAGUGGACGCACUGCAGAUAACAGCCCUUUAGGGAAUUGUGAAGGCCAGCUUAUGCCUCCUUUCUCUUGCCCCCUAAACAUUAGCACAGAUUUCAUCAAGACACCUCAAGCAAUAAGAAGCCACUGAGUGUAAAGAAAGUAGAGCGCAGUCCAUCGCUGUUAUGCCACUUUCUCCAGCUUUCAGGCAGAUUUGAUCAUAAUGUUUAUGAAAAAAAGAAGAAAAAAACCUAAUUCCAGUCUAUUUUGAUGACUUGUGAUUUUAGCUGAUUCAAGUCUUUUUGUGUCUGCCUCAAGAUAAUUAUAAAAGCUCCGAUUUUCCACAGUUACUAGAAUUUUCUAGCAACUGGGUUUUUUUUUUUUAAAGUGCCUCCAUCAGAGCACCAAGUCAUUCAGAACCCCCCCCUCACUUCUGCAUGUCUGGCUAAUGCUAACCAAAGUACAUUAGGUCAGAUUCCUAUAAGCUUGCCUCAUGCUUUGUAAUCUUUAUCUAUUCAUUAAUUAGUGGCAAAUCUGACAAAAUUGAACUUGUUUAUGGUGGCAUUACAGAUGCAGUCUGUACCAGUGGAAAUGGCUUUACGCAAGGUCAUCAGCCAAAAUAAAAUACAUAUUCCUUUUAGUUCAUCUGUUUACUUGUAGAAGAGAGAUGACAUCUCUGUAUGGCACUUACCUAAUACAAGAUAUUUCUUCACAAAAUGCUUUUUAGUAAGGCAAAUUACUUACGUAAGUAGAAUUUUCAGAAAGAUCUUUAACUCCAUAGUUAGAAAACUGGUACUCAUCAGGUGAGAAGCAAGAGUAUUUUCACAUUUAUCAAGACAGGCAUCAUGAAGUCAUGAUUUUCUUUUUUUCUUUUUUUUUUUUUUAUGAUAUGGUUCAGCCAACUGCACCCACUUUUUUGAACUUAUUUAAAGUACAAUUGACCUGUAUCUGAAUUUAACAAAUGCUGCUAAGCUUGAAUGAUUACUAGUGCAAAUGAGGACAAAACUGCAGUGGAAAACUCCAGUUGCUUGAGAUGCUGUUAAGCUUCUUAUUAUGCACUGAAAGCCAUAGGUAGAUGUAGUUACUUAUGAUAAAGAAAAUUGUUUUGUUGAUUUUCUUUUCAACAGCAAGUUCAAGCCUUGAACUAAGGCAUAGCUUGUUUUGAGGUCAGCUUGAAAGUAGUGGUUAAAAACAUAAAACUUUUAUUUAUGCUUGACAGAACAACAACAACAACAAAAAAUACCCAGACUCUUUGCUCAGAAGAAUUUGUAGUUUGGGGCAUGUUUUUCACAUAUUUAAUCCUCAGCCUAGUUCUAUCAUACAAGUUAUCUCACUAACUAUAUUGCAGGAAACAAUAGCUAGGAAGCAAAAGGAGUAAGAUGAGGACAAUGAUGUUAUAUAGUCACUUGAGAAGAGAGCACACAUCUGUAUUUUUAUAAUUAUUCUAGAUGGAACUACUUUCAUUGCCAAUAGUUCAGACUGCAUUUUCCUAUUUGAAUCUUCCCAUGAUAAGACCAUACACUGAUACUUGUUUUUUUUCUCCCCCUCAAACUUGAAUCAGCAAGUGCCAGCUUUUCCAUAGUGUUAGCCAUCUUGAUUUGAAUAUUUGAGAAAGUUCCAGCUGGAAAGUGGCUUACUUAUUUAUGGGGCAAUAAUCAAGGAAAAUAAAGUAUUUUGUCAAUGCUAAAAAUAUUACAACAUUCAAUUCAGAAAUUUUACCACCUCCACAUUUUGGAAGAGUGACUUUAGCAGAUAGCAGAUGGAGGUCUCGAAAGUGCUUUUUACCAUUCUCAGGAAGAUAUACGAAAGCAAUAAGUUCCUGAAAAGCAUCAGCACACACACUCUUAGAAACUUGUAAUUUGGGUCCUUCAAGGACCUGUGUUAGGCAUAUCCUCUCACAACUCCUGCUUAGUGACAAGAUGGCAUGGCAGCAGCUAAACAAGUUCAUAUGUUUCACACAAUUUCUGUGGAGGGUGAACACUAUUUUCCUCAGAAUAAUUAUUUCCAGGGUGUUGCAGGCCCCUGUAGAGCUGGAUAUAAAUUCUAAUCUAUAUUAUCCAUACGCUUAGUAUACAUGCUGCUGGUAGGAAAGCAGGAGAAAGGAGAGAAAGAAAAGCAUGCAUGCAGAAACGUAUAACAGCAAGGAAAGAAGGUCACAAGAACAAAAGUACAAAGAAAUGACUAAGAAUGUGGAAGUGCAGCAAAACAGCAUGAGAGAAAAAUGAAAAAAAGAGGAUUCCAUAUAUAUAUAUACACAAGCAGUCUAUAACCGCACAAAUAAAUACCCUACCAGACUUUUCAGCAGCUUCCUAAAUUUCUGCAGCCCCAUAAAAAAAGCUGUCUCAGUGCUUCCUCUUACCCUUUUAUCAGCAGGCUUCACAUAUGCAUGUGGAAAAGGCUCACAACUGCUGGCUAUUAAUUACGUGAAGUAGCAGUAGUCGGAGCUAUAGAUCUCAAUGGUCCGCACUCCACUCAUUAUGCAAGCUGGGGCCUGGUGUUGCUACAAUUACUGGUUUUCAAUUAAGAAAUCAAAACAAAAGAUUGUCUCCACAGUCCAGUUGCUUUGUCCAUGCUAAGCCGGGGCUCUCUGGGGGCUGCACCAGCCCGGCAGCCAGCGCCUCACGCAGCUGCAAGGUUGCUCUUAUCAGCAAUAUCUUGCAGCUAUGAGGGACAGCGAUGAUAUGCGUCACUCAGCAAAACUGUGGAGAAAUCAUUAACAAAGUAUGAAAGCUGCAAAAUCAGACUUAAUAAAUGUUAGAUUUAAAAGUUAACUGAUGAUGUUACUUCUAAUGUGCCUAUACUUUAUGGUGAUCUUGUAUUAAAAGAUCCUUCUCUGUCCCCAAGUUCUGCAAUUUGCUUGUUGGAAUGGGGGACUGUAACAGAUUUUUAUUCUGUGGCAAGAUCUUUUCCAAGAAAACUUUUGCUGCUUGAUCAGUGUACACGAUGAGCAGCGCUGACAAUGUUGAAUCAGAGCUGUUCAGUACCUGCAGGACAUCAGCCUCUGUUACAGUAUACACUGCAUGAGGUAGGUAAAACCAGGCAGACAAAGAAUGAUCUUACAGCAAAUAUGUUGAAUGCCAUCUAUUAUUGUGUUAACGUAUGUAACAUGUGCCUCCGUUCCUUAGUUUUAAGAGGGGGUAUAAUAAUAUUGCCACAUGUAUUUUGACAUGAAUUGAUGAAUACGUUUAAAGCACUUGGGUAUGAUGGGGAGAGCCCAGGAGUAUAAUUUUAUUGAAAGUUUGCAUGAUAUACAUUAAAGAAGUCUGCAGUCACAUGUGACUUUCUCGUAACAUGCCCACAACAAGCAGCUGAAUCACACCUGUUUACUUUAAUACUCAUGUUUUCUCAUUUUGCAGGCUUUACGAUGCAAAUCCUUUUGAAGUAACACAUGCAUAUACAAUCGUAUACAUAUGCACAUAUGUAAUUACAUGAACCUUGAUGUUGAACUUGAAAAGAAAUGACAGUACUGCAAUACAUGCUUGCGGGGGGGUGGUGCAGAUGCAAUCGAGUCCAGCAGGAGCCACGGCCAAUACAAGAUUGAUCCUGCCUCUCAUGAGAAACAAGGUCCUAUUCAAAGCAACUCCAAGCUCAGGGGAGGCCAAUCAACUCUGCCACUCGAGGCUGAAAAACGUUACCGCUGUGGAUGGCAGGGACACGCCACCCUGGUGGAGCUCGGCACAGGAGCCCUGUGGCCUUGGUGGCUGCCCCUCAUGGCCACGAAACGCCGGCGUGAGGUCCCGCUACUGUGCGAGGUGAGCGUGCCCGUUCAGGAGAGGCAGCCUCUCGGCACCCCUGCCGUGCUCGGCGCUCCAGCAGAGCUGUGAUCUAUAGCAGCUGCUGCUUUUAAUGGAUGGUCCGGCUUAUCUUACGGCUGGGGGAGGCAGCAGCUGGAUCGCCAAAGCUCCACGUAAUGCCCAUGCAAGGAGAGGAGCUCUGCUUAUUACAAUUAAAAGCAGUGAUGCGAUGCAUUGCCACAAAAUAGUCAGUACUGAUACGCAGUCACAAGAGAAAUGUCCGUCCACAGGACGCAGGGAGCUGACUUAGCGAAGUAACCACCUAAGUGGGGAAAAAGGUAAAACAAGCGCUGUGAUAACUCUGCUUGAGCCAAACAUGAAAGUAAAGGGAUUUUCAGAAAAAGGAGAGAAAAGGAAGAUAACACAGGAAGGACUUAAGUUAUGGAGAAUGUAAAAUGAAAGAAUGAGUCAUGUAAAUGCGAUUUAGGGUAGAGUGGGAAGUUGAUAGAAAUCUUGUAGGCUUGGAUUUUCCUAGCUUUGAAAAACAUUCAAGAGUAUGCUGAUUUUCAGUGAUUAUCAGAGAUUUCCCUGUAGUUGGGGGAAACUUGGUGAAAGGGAACAGGUGCUUCCUGCAAAAAGUAGGAUGAAGAGCAGAGUGGGAGCAUUUUGUGUGGUCUGCUAUUGGCAUUAGCAGUGGAAAGUCUCCUCUGGGAGGACGCGUUGGAAGCACUCCUCCGCAGCUCUCCCAUGAUGCUGCAACAUUAUGCAGUGAGGAUUCAGGGAGCACUUGUGUCCCACAGUUUCCACUGCUCUGUAGUCUCUGAAAAGAAUUUAAAGUUGGUCAGAAACUAGUUUAGAAUGUUCAUUUUGCUGUAAAAAAAGGUAUAUAUACUUUUGACACUUUGCCAUGUUUGGCUCAGCACAGAGAGGAGCCAGGGCACAAUUAGGAGGGAAGAAACAGCCUUUAUGGAAUCACCAAAAUGCCAAUAAAUAGCUUCAGAAAUGCUAUUCUUAUUGUAGGCAAAGGUAGGAACACCAAAAAAAUAAUUUUAUACAUUGAUUUUGCAAUAUAACAGGCUUACGAGGCAAUAUUCUAGAAUGUUAACUGAAAAUCCUUGACCAGAAUUCAGAAAACUUUAGCAUCACCAAAGUCCUUUAUCUACAGAACAGUAUGUAUAAAACUGAUAAGUUUUAACGCUGCUUUUUAGAAUUUUCAGCAAGCAGUAAAUAUUCUUAACCACCUUGCGUAGUGGUCUCUGUGGGAAGAGGGAGGAUAAUACCUGAUUGUUAUUCCAGUCUGAAAAAACACAAAAAAUGUGGCUAGAAAAAAUAUAUGCAUCUAACCUUUUUUUUUUCCCUUUCCUGCUGAAGUGACCUCUCUUGGUAAUAAUCUGACUUUGGAAAGUUCUAGAAGUUACUGCUAUAAUAAAACAGUUUCCAGAGUUUAUGUAUUUUUAGGGAAUGGCAAAAAUAACCAUUUGAUGUACUACUAAAAUUAAAAGACUGAGGCUUGUACCCUUGCUUUGUGGUGGUGGUGAUUUAGAAGAACUGUUUUAUCUUUCUGUGCCUCAGUCUUUACGUAUGUAUAAUGAGGAUAGUAGUAUUCCUCCCCUAUGAAAAACUUCUUCAGAUACAUGAGUGAGAAGGUCCUAGGCAGGAAUUGGACUUCAUUCAUAUCUGAGAAGUGUUCUCCGUAAGUGCGCCCAGUGAAAUGAGACCCAAGUGGGGAUGUCUGCUCUGGGCAUCCUAGCAGCAGAAGUUUGGGAACUUUAUCACAGAAACUUGGUAUGGUUUGGCAGUACAAAAAAUUCAGUGUUAGAGCUUCAGUGAUACAUCAAAAAUGCUGUGGUCAUGGCUAAAAUACAGCCUGAUAUAAACACAUUUGGCUUGUUCCAAUGUUUUCAAAAUAUAUAAAUAAGUUAAUUUUGUAGUGGCAGGAUUUACUGUUUGUACACAUCAAUAUAACUGGAUGCUGGAUAAGUAUCACCUGUCUUGACUUGGAACUGUAUGUUCAAUAUUGCUUGAUUUGUUUAAUUUUUGGAAAUGUGCUUGUAUGAUUAACUUGAAUUGGAUCCACCUUGUUACUGCUGGAUGAUCAGAUAUCAAAUAUAUUACCCAUGCACUCAUGUAUAGAAGAUGAUAAUUGUUUAUCAGUGUUCUAAAAAACCUAGUCUGAGUUUAUUAAAGCACCUAUAGAAUUAGAAUAGAGGUUUCCUCUGUAGCAUCUGGUCACCAGAUGUGACGUUAGGCUAUUAAAGUCUUCAGUUUGUGAGAGUGGUAGAAAAAAAUCAACAAAAUGGUUUAACCUUUCUGUCUGUGAGAACAACAUAACUUAGGUAGCGGUUCUACUCCCAUUUUAAUCACUGGUUUUUUUGGCACUGAUUUUCACUUGAGACAAUGAGAUCGUGCUUGUAGAUAGGGCUUCAUUUGACCUGAAAAUUUGUGUGUGUUUGUCAGCCAGUGGACAUCAGUUCUUUAAUCAUGUUUUUUUCUCAUUCAGGAACAGUAGGAACUUAUUCCCUCUGGCCAGAAAUGCACUGCAAAUGGUAGAAGCUUUGCCUGAAAUAAGGAAUGCUUGGUAUCCAACUUGUAUAUGUUUUAGUUAACAUGUUUUGGUAUCAUAUACCUUAUUUUUAUCAUUUGAUGCUAUUUUCAUUUUUCUGCCUCUCUCUAUCAUAUAUGUACCUGUACACACAGACAUGCAUACAAACAGAAGUACAGUUACAGAAGUCUGACCCUGCAUUUACUGAACACCUGAAAUUCUGAGGAAAAGGCAGUAGGUAGUACUUACAUGCAGGAAAAACAGAAUCAGGACACCAGAACCAGCAAAAUGCAGGGCAUAUUUUAAAGGGAAAAAGUUGUCCCACUCCAUGGAAUUUGAGAAAUAAAUUUUGGUUCAAAAUCAGACUGCUAGAUAAAAUAGUAAUCAGUUUCGCUGUGAAUGGUGAUACAUCUUAAAACAAGGAACCAUGCUUCUAUGUCUCAUUUUAUUUUCCUUUUGCUUCCUCAGCCCAAAUGAAUUGGAUUACGUUGUGGAGCAAAAUGCUGGAAGUUUCCAUUUUAAAAAUUGCAGAAAGUAAAGCAGAUAGAAAUAAAGCAUGUUUUACUUUUUAUUUUCUUUUUCUUUUUUAUGGAGGUUAUAGGCAGAGUGGUUUCUUAUAGCUUUAAACUGAGUUGUUAGGAGCUGUUAUUCUUAUGGAGUCACUAUGGACCAGAUCCAAAGUUGUUUGAGUGAAUGGCAAGAUUUCCAGCGAUUUCACUGUUCUUUUGAUCAGGUCCUUAAUCUUCUGGGAAGUGCUGGGUUUAAUAGGACUAUUGUGUGUGUGGUGCUGACAGUGUACGGAGUUUGCUUUUGUGUUUAAAUGAGAAGAAGAUGGAGAUUUACUAACUGAUUGUCUGAGAUGUUUAGCAUUCAAGGACCAUCUGGAUUGUUAGUCCUGGAAAAUUUAUUUUAUUGCUCCGUUUAUUUCACCUGAGGAUCCAACCUGAAAAAGCAGAUUACCAAGCUGCAAGCAAGGUCUCAUUAUGUUUCUCAGCUGUGUUACUUCAAUUUUUUUCUGAAGAGGCCUACUUUAAGAGGCCUUGUUUUCUAAGCACAUGGACUGCUUUGUAUCUUGACCUGCUAAUAAAUGCCAGCUAGUACUAA
Dromaius novaehollandiae (emu) is the source of this 9744-nucleotide long non-coding RNA. RefSeq lists it as uncharacterized. The transcript has 2 exons. The record is from RefSeq and is a predicted model, not a curated record. NCBI's taxonomy places the organism in Eukaryota, Metazoa, Chordata, Aves, Casuariiformes, Dromaiidae.